Molecule: ribosomal RNA, 497 nt
Filed under: uncultured bacterium
Lineage: Bacteria
Description: partial 16S ribosomal RNA
Rfam family: Bacterial small subunit ribosomal RNA
Source: RNAcentral
GAUGAACGCUGGCGGCGUGCCUAAUACAUGCAAGUCGAGCGAACAGAUGAGGAGCUUGCUCCUCUGACGUUAGCGGCGGACGGGUGAGUAACACGUGGAUAACCUACCUAUAAGACUGGGAUAACUUCGGGAAACCGGAGCUAAUACCGGAUAAUAUAUUGAACCGCAUGGUUCAAUAGUGAAAGACGGUUUUGCUGUCACUUAUAGAUGGAUCCGCGCCGCAUUAGCUAGUUGGUAAGGUAACGGCUUACCAAGGCGACGAUGCGUAGCCGACCUGAGAGGGUGAUCGGCCACACUGGAACUGAGACACGGUCCAGACUCCUACGGGAGGGAGCAGUAGGGAAUCUGCCGCAAUGGGCGAAAGCCUGACGGAGCAACGCCGCGUGAGUGAUGACGGUCUUCGGAUCGUAAAACUCUGUUAUUAGGGAAGAACCAAUGUGUACGUAACUAUGCACGUCUUGACGGUACCUACACAGAAAGCAACGGCUAACUACGUG